GUUACAUGGCAGAGACAGGUGGGGAAUACAAGCAAGUACUCCUGAGCUGGAAGGACUUUCCCUGCUCUGGGGCCUUUGGCCAAGUUACCUCAUCUCUCUAUGCCUCAGUUUCCUCCAUGGCCAAAUGGCUUUGUAAUAUCUAUGCUAUAGGCUGUGAGGAUUAGCAGUAAAUUAUGUGAAGUGCCUGGCUCACAGUCAAGACUUGGCAAGUGGGAAGGCUUGAAGUUCAAGGUGAUGAAGUCAGGGAGAGAAGGAGGUAGGAAG
This 264-nucleotide long non-coding RNA is filed under the name Homo sapiens (human). RNAcentral's name for it is "non-protein coding lnc-SGPL1-3:1". Lineage: Eukaryota; Metazoa; Chordata; Mammalia; Primates; Hominidae. The record is from RNAcentral.